RNAcentral lists this transfer RNA (75 nucleotides) under Vicugna pacos (alpaca). RNAcentral describes it as "tRNA-Ala (AGC) (tRNA-Ala-AGC-326-1)". It matches the Rfam family "tRNA". From Rfam's summary of the family: Transfer RNA (tRNA) molecules are approximately 80 nucleotides in length. Their secondary structure includes four short double-helical elements and three loops (D, anti-codon, and T loops). The record is from RNAcentral. Lineage: Eukaryota; Metazoa; Chordata; Mammalia; Artiodactyla; Camelidae.
GGAGAGGGUACAGCUCAGUGGUAGAGCGCGUGCUUAGCAUGUACGAGGUCCUGGGUUCAAUCCCCAGUACCUCCA